This 29-nucleotide non-coding RNA is filed under the name Rattus norvegicus (Norway rat). The record is from RNAcentral. Lineage: Eukaryota; Metazoa; Chordata; Mammalia; Rodentia; Muridae.
UACCAACAUCCAUGAUGAUGCCAGCAGUG